GAUGAACGCUGGCGGCGUGCCUAAUACAUGCAAGUCGAGCGAACGGAUGAGAAGCUUGCUUCUCUGAUGUUAGCGGCGGACGGGUGAGUAACACGUGGAUAACCUACCUAUAAGACUGGGAUAACUUCGGGAAACCGGAGCUAAUACCGGAUAAUAUUUUGAACCGCAUGGUUCAAAAGUGAAAGACGGUCUUGCUGUCACUUAUAGAUGGAUCCGCGCUGCAUUAGCUAGUUGGUAAGGUAACGGCUUACCAAGGCAACGAUGCAUAGCCGACCUGAGAGGGUGAUCGGCCACACUGGAACUGAGACACGGUCCAGACUCCUACGGGAGGCAGCAGUAGGGAAUCUUCCGCAAUGGGCGAAAGCCUGACGGAGCAACGCCGCGUGAGUGAUGAAGGUCUUCGGAUCGUAAAACUCUGUUAUUAGGGAAGAACAUAUGUGUAAGUAACUGUGCACAUCUUGACGGUACCUAAUCAGAAAGCCACGGCUAACUACGUGCCAGCAGCCGCGGUAAUACGUAGGUGGCAAGCGUUAUCCGGAAUUAUUGGGCGUAAAGCGCGCGUAGGCGGUUUUUUAAGUCUGAUGUGAAAGCCCACGGCUCAACCGUGGAGGGUCAUUGGAAACUGGAAAACUUGAGUGCAGAAAAGGAAAGUGGAAUUCCAUGUGUAGCGGUGGAAUGCGCAGAGAUAUGGAGGAACACCAGUGGCGAAGGCGACUUUCUGGUCUGUAACUGACGCUGAUGUGCGAAAGCGUGGGGAUCAAACAGG
Molecule: ribosomal RNA, 766 nt
Filed under: Staphylococcus aureus
Lineage: Bacteria; Bacillati; Bacillota; Bacilli; Caryophanales; Staphylococcaceae
Description: bacterial SSU rRNA
Rfam family: Bacterial small subunit ribosomal RNA
Source: RNAcentral